GGCGGUAGGGCGGUUUUGGCAAUCGCACCGGAUUCAUAAGUCGGAUAAACUAGGUUCGAUGCCUAGUGCCGCUA
This 74-nucleotide transfer RNA is filed under the name Candidatus Scalindua sp. RNAcentral's name for it is "tRNA-Met". It matches the Rfam family "tRNA". From Rfam's summary of the family: Transfer RNA (tRNA) molecules are approximately 80 nucleotides in length. The record is from RNAcentral. Lineage: Bacteria; Pseudomonadati; Planctomycetota; Candidatus Brocadiia; Candidatus Brocadiales; Candidatus Scalinduaceae.